AACUAACGCUGGCGGCGUGCCUAACACAUGCAAGUCGUACGAGAAAGCCGGCUUCGGCUGGUGAGUAAAGUGGCGCACGGGUGAGUAACGCGUGGAUAAUCUGCCCUUAAGUGUGGAAUAACGUACCGAAAGGUGCGCUAAUACCGCAUAAUGCCUGGCAACACAAGUUGUCCGGCCAAAGAAGGCCUCUGUUUACAAGCUUUCGCUUCAGGAUGAGUCCGCGUACCAUUAGCUUGUUGGUGGGGUAAUGGCCUACCAAGGCUGCGAUGGUUAGCUGGUCUGAGAGGAUGAUCAGCCACACUGGAACUGAGACACGGUCCAGACUCCUACGGGAGGCAGCAGUGAGGAAUAUUGCGCAAUGGGGGCAACCCUGACGCAGCAACGCCGCGUGAGUGAGGAAGGUUUUCGGACUGUAAAGCUCUGUCGAGCGGGAAGAAGUGUACCAUGGCUAAUAUCCAUGAUAUUUGACGGUACCGCUAGGG
RNAcentral lists this ribosomal RNA (482 nucleotides) under uncultured bacterium. Its description in RNAcentral is "bacterial SSU rRNA". It matches the Rfam family "Bacterial small subunit ribosomal RNA", at positions 29 to 486 of the family's 1533-position model. The record is from RNAcentral.